CCUGAUUUCACCUUCUUCCCUCUUGUGAUCUUCAUCUCUCUUCAUUCUUAUAUCACUGCAAGAUUUUUCACCGUAGGCAAUUGAUGGCCACAUCAUGGAGACAUCCUGUGAGCUUGCCCCAGACCAUGUAUCAGAUGGCAUCAGCUGAAGUCCAGGUGAAGUGGUGGACAUUCUCCAGCAUGCUUGGCACCGCAGCUUGGAGAUUGUUGCUCACAAGAGAAGGGAAUGUGCCAGCUUUCACAGAUCUGUACUUGCAGGAGGAGACCUAGACCUGUGAGGCAUCACCCUGCCAUCCGGCUGCUGGCUGGCAUCCAGAUGCUAUCUCAAGAUCCAUCAAUGCAAUGAAAUAUUUUCUGCCUGGAAAAGUAAUUCUAGAUUUAUAUACAAAAGUAAUCAGAGUAUCAACUGGAAAAUAUUAUGUGAAUGUUUUAAAUAAAUUUACUGGGUUUGGAUGGCCUAUUUUUGGUAGGAGGGGGAGCUACAGAGGUGCCUUCUGUGAGAAGCUGCUGGAAGCUUCUUCUAUAUGUCCGUCCAUGGUGGUUCCAAAGAUGGAUGUGCUGCUGCCCAAGGUUGGGCCAAUUAAAAAUUAUGCAAUGCCUCUGUGAUAAUAGAUUUAAGGAGAAUUCAAAACCAAAUGGAGUUGCAGAGUUGAAACUGCAACCAGAGAAGAGUGGAGGAAGAACAUGUGAGAAGAAAACUCUGCACACACCAAGAUCCAUGGAGAAGGAGGGGCAGGAGGUGCUCCAGGCACUGGAACUGA
Molecule: long non-coding RNA, 760 nt
Organism: Catharus ustulatus (Swainson's thrush)
Lineage: Eukaryota; Metazoa; Chordata; Aves; Passeriformes; Turdidae
Exons: 3
Source: RefSeq, a predicted model, not a curated record